GGCGAUGUUUGAUCCUGGCUCAGGACGAACGCUGGCGGCGUGCUUUACACAUGCAAGUCGAACGGUGAACCGGUGCUUGCACCGGGGAUCAGUGGCGAACGGGUGAGUAACACGUGAGCAAUCUGCCCCUAACUCUGGGAUAACUGCGGGAAACCGCAGCUAAUACCGGAUACGACCCAGGGAGGCAUCUUCACUGGGUGGAAAGUUUUUCGGUUAGGGAUGAGCUCGCGGCCUAUCAGCUUGUUGGUGGGGUAAUGGCCUACCAAGGCGACGACGGGUAGCCGGCCUGAGAGGGCGACCGGCCACACUGGGACUGAGACACGGCCCAGACUCCUACGGGAGGCAGCAGUGGGGAAUAUUGCACAAUGGGCGAAAGCCUGAUGCAGCGACGCCGCGUGAGGGACGAAGGCCUUCGGGUUGUAAACCUCUUUCAGCAGGGACGAAGCGAAAGUGACGGUACCUGCAGAAGAAGCGCCGGCUAACUACGUGCCAGCAGCCGCGGUAAUA
RNAcentral lists this ribosomal RNA (507 nucleotides) under uncultured bacterium. Its description in RNAcentral is "bacterial SSU rRNA". It matches the Rfam family "Bacterial small subunit ribosomal RNA", at positions 1 to 525 of the family's 1533-position model. The record is from RNAcentral.